ACGGUUAUAAAUCAACAUAUUGAUUUAUAAGCAUGGAAAUCCCCUGAGUGAAACAACGAAUUGCUGUGUGUAGUCUUUGCCCAUCUCCC
RNAcentral lists this non-coding RNA (89 nucleotides) under Escherichia coli. Its description in RNAcentral is "partial antisense sRNA RprA". It matches the Rfam family "RprA RNA", at positions 1 to 89 of the family's 108-position model. Rfam says of the family: Translational regulation of the stationary phase sigma factor RpoS is mediated by the formation of a double-stranded RNA stem-loop structure in the upstream region of the rpoS messenger RNA, occluding the translation initiation site. Clones carrying rprA (RpoS regulator RNA A) increased the translation of RpoS. The record is from RNAcentral. Lineage: Bacteria; Pseudomonadati; Pseudomonadota; Gammaproteobacteria; Enterobacterales; Enterobacteriaceae. RNAcentral also lists the same sequence under 1 other name.